RNAcentral lists this long non-coding RNA (304 nucleotides) under Phoenix dactylifera (date palm). RNAcentral's name for it is "long non-coding RNA (PDAC_LNC001842)". Lineage: Eukaryota; Viridiplantae; Streptophyta; Magnoliopsida; Arecales; Arecaceae. The record is from RNAcentral.
ACCCUGUUAUUCUGUUGUGGCUGAGCAUCUCAUUCGAAAAUCAGUUGAUUUGAUCUAUCCUUACCAAGUUGUUCUGAGUCCCUAUCUCAUCGCUGCAACUCAUUUUUGAAACUAAAAUGAUUAUUGUAUAUUCUACUUCAUCAUCUCUCACUUUGUUAGAAAAUGAGGAAGAACCCUCAAGAAGGUGAUAGAAACUCUUAAGAACAAAGUUUAGAAAAAGGAUAAUUUUUAUUCAACUCACCCCUCUACAAAUGGAAGAACCUUGUUGCCACUUUGACCAUAAAAUUUAAAAAGAAAAUAAGAA